RNAcentral lists this unclassified non-coding RNA (200 nucleotides) under soil metagenome. RNAcentral's name for it is "partial contains internal transcribed spacer 2 and large subunit ribosomal RNA". The record is from RNAcentral.
CUGUUCGAGCGUCAGUACAACACUCAAGCUCUGCUUGGUAUUGGGCCCUGCCGGCAACGGCUGGCCUUAAAUCAGUGGCGGCGCAUCUGGCUCUAAGCGUAGUAAUAAUCCUCGCUAUAGGGUCCCGGUGGAUGCUUGCCAGCAACCCCCAACUUUCUAAGUUUGACCUCGGAUCAGGUAGGGAUACCCGCUGAACUUAA